CGCUGGCGGCGUGCCUAAUACAUGCAAGUCGAGCGAACGGACGAGAAGCUUGCUUCUCUGAUGUUAGCGGCGGACGGGUGAGUAACACGUGGAUAACCUACCUAUAAGACUGGGAUAACUUCGGGAAACCGGAGCUAAUACCAGAUAAUAUUUUGAACCGCAUGGUUCAAAAGUGAAAGACGGUCUUGCUGUCACUUAUAGAUGGAUCCGCGCUGCAUUAGCUAGUUGGUAAGGUAACGGCUUACCAAGGCAACGAUGCAUAGCCGACCUGAGAGGGUGAUCGGCCACACUGGAACUGAGACACGGUCCAGACUCCUACGGGAGGCAGCAGUAGGGAAUCUUCCGCAAUGGGCGAAAGCCUGACGGAGCAACGCCGCGUGAGUGAUGAAAGUCUUCGGAUCGUAAAACUCUGUUAUUAGGGAAGAACAUAUGUGUAAGUAACUGUGCACAUCUUGACGGUACCUAAUCAGAAAGCCACGGCUAACUACGUGCCAGCAGCCGCGGUAAUACGUAGGUGGCAAGCGUUAUCCGGAAUUAUUGGGCGUAAAGCGCGCGUAGGCGGUUUUUUAAGUCUGAUGUGAAAGCCCACGGCUCAACCGUGGAGGGUCAUUGGAAACUGGAAAACUUGAGUGCAGAAGAGGAAAGUGGAAUUCCAUGUGUAGCGGUGAAAUGCGCAGAGAUAUGGAGGAACACCAGUGGCGAAGGCGACUUUCUGGUCUGUAACUGACGCCGAUGUGCGAAAGCGUGGGGAUCAAACAGGAUUAGAUACCCUGGUAGUCC
This 780-nucleotide ribosomal RNA is filed under the name uncultured bacterium. RNAcentral's name for it is "bacterial SSU rRNA". It matches the Rfam family "Bacterial small subunit ribosomal RNA", at positions 34 to 796 of the family's 1533-position model. The record is from RNAcentral.